GAUGAACGCUGGCGGCGUGCAUAACACAUGCAAGUCGAACGAUGAAACUUAGUAGACGUGUUCUGCAAGACACUAAGCGGAUUAGUGGCGAACGGAGGAGUAACGCGUGGGUAACCUGCCAUACACAAGGGAAUAGCGUUUGUACACGAAGAAUAAUACCCUAGAAAAGUAUAAAAGCACAUGCUAGAAUGGUCAAAGUGCUAGCGGUGUAAGAUGGACUUGCGGCUGAUUAGCUAGUUGGGGAGAGAAAAGCUCACCAAGGCAACGAUCAGUAGCCGGAGUGUGACCGUCUACGGUCGCAUUGGGACUGAGACACGGCCCCGACUCCUACCGGAGGCAGCAGUGAGGAAUCUUGCACCGUGGGGGAAAUCCUGAUACGCCGCGGCCGCGUGAUUUAGCAGGCCUUCGGGUUGUACAAACCUUUUGUAUAGGACGAAAAUGACAGUACUAUACGAAUAAGGUCCGGCUAAUUACGUG
RNAcentral lists this ribosomal RNA (477 nucleotides) under uncultured bacterium. RNAcentral's name for it is "partial 16S ribosomal RNA". It matches the Rfam family "Bacterial small subunit ribosomal RNA", at positions 28 to 507 of the family's 1533-position model. The record is from RNAcentral.